AUUGAACGCUGGCGGAAUGCUUUACACAUGCAAGUCGAACGGCAGCACGGGGCAACCUGGUGGCGAGUGGCGAACGGGUGAGUAAUACAUCGGAACGUGCCCAAUCGUGGGGGAUAACGUAGCGAAAGUUACGCUAAUACCGCAUACGAUCUACGGAUGAAAGCGGGGGAUCGCAAGACCUCGCGCGAAUGGAGCGGCCGAUGUCAGAUUAGGUAGUUGGUGGGGUAAAGGCUCACCAAGCCAACGAUCUGUAGCUGGUCUGAGAGGACGACCAGCCACACUGGAACUGAGACACGGUCCAGACUCCUACGGGAGGCAGCAAUGGGGAAUUUUGGACAAUGGGCGCAAGCCUGAUCCAGCCAUUCCGCGUGCAGGAUGAAGGCCUUCGGUUGUAAACUGCUUUUGUACGGAACGAAACGGUCUGCCCUAAUACGGCGGGCUAACUGACGGUACCGUAAGAUAAGCACCGGCUAACUACGUGCCAGCAGCCGACGGUAAAGUGU
RNAcentral lists this ribosomal RNA (503 nucleotides) under uncultured bacterium. RNAcentral describes it as "bacterial SSU rRNA". It matches the Rfam family "Bacterial small subunit ribosomal RNA", at positions 30 to 528 of the family's 1533-position model. The record is from RNAcentral.